RNAcentral lists this unclassified non-coding RNA (246 nucleotides) under uncultured fungus. RNAcentral describes it as "sequence contains ITS1". The stretch from base 1 to 101 matches the Rfam family "5.8S ribosomal RNA", at positions 49 to 154 of the family's 154-position model. Lineage: Eukaryota; Fungi. The record is from RNAcentral.
GAAAAUGCGAUAUGCAAUGUGAAUUGCAGAACUACGAAUCAUUUGAUCUUUGAACGCAAAUUGCGCAGGCCGAAUACGCCUGCAUACUUGUUUCAGUGUGCCUAACCAAAUCUAAACAAAAUGUAAGAGAAAACUCUCUUAUCAAAUAGAUGCUCCGAGUAGCAGUCACAUUCAUAUGUGAGCUAUUCCGGUGGUUAAAUGUCUUAUUCGCACCUGAAAUCAAGUAAGAUCACCCGCUGGACUUAA